UGGUCUAAUAGGCCCAUGCAGAAAUGAGGCAAAUAUGCCAGGGAAUGAAUCCUGAGAAUUUUGGAAGGAGUGGAAUUGGAACAGAGGUGAAUACAAGGCUGGGUCUUAUCCUGAUUCCUACUGGUUCCACUUUCUCCUACCUGCUGAAUGGUACCUUUAAGAAGAAAGGAAAGUUUAAAAGGAAGGAGAGCAAAAAGAAGGUAUUUUCAUGUCUGUAUGGCUAAUGUGACCUGUAAAUAAACCAUAACAUA
Long non-coding RNA from Mustela erminea (ermine), 251 nucleotides. RefSeq lists it as uncharacterized. The transcript has 3 exons. Lineage: Eukaryota; Metazoa; Chordata; Mammalia; Carnivora; Mustelidae. The record is from RefSeq and is a predicted model, not a curated record.